This 221-nucleotide long non-coding RNA is filed under the name Glycine max (soybean). RNAcentral describes it as "long non-coding RNA (GMAX_LNC003761)". The record is from RNAcentral. Lineage: Eukaryota; Viridiplantae; Streptophyta; Magnoliopsida; Fabales; Fabaceae.
UUUGGCACCAGAGCUUCUACGAUCCACGGCGGAACACGGUAGUGAACAAUGGCAAUGCAGAAAAGCAAUGACCAGAUUCCGGCGAAAUUGCCGAUCUUCGACGGCAACAACUAUGAGAGGUGGACGGCGCAAAUGAAGGUGGUGUUCAGGUAUCAAGGUGUUCUUGAUAUCAUAAGCACCGGUGUUACACCUUUGGCGGAGAAUCCCACAGAAGCAUUAAG